GACGAACGCUGGCGGCGUGCUUAACACAUGCCAGUCGAACGGAAAGGUCCUGCUUGCUGGGUACUCGAUUGGCGAACGGGUGAGUAACACGUGGGGGAUCUGCCCUGCACUUCGGGAUAAGCCUGGGAAACUGGGUCUAAUAUCGGAUAGGAGCCAUUUUUAGUGUGAUGGUUGGAAAGUUUUUUCGGUGUAGUAUGAGCUCGCGGCCUAUCAGCUUGUUGGUGGGGUAAUGGCCUACCAAGGCGGCGACGGGUAGCCGGCCUGAGAGGGUGGACGGCCACAGUGGGACUGGGAUACGGCCCAGACUCCUACGGGAGGCAGCAGUAGGGAAUGUUGAACAAUGGGCGCAAGCCUGAUGCAGCGACGCCGCGUGGGGGAUGACGGUCUUCGGGUUGUAAACGCCUUUCGCUAGGGACGAAGCUGUUUGUGACGGUACCUAGAGAAGAAGCACCGGCUAACUCCGUG
RNAcentral lists this ribosomal RNA (465 nucleotides) under uncultured bacterium. Its description in RNAcentral is "partial 16S ribosomal RNA". It matches the Rfam family "Bacterial small subunit ribosomal RNA", at positions 28 to 507 of the family's 1533-position model. The record is from RNAcentral.